UGAUUCACGUUUGUGAAAUGCUUUGAGACCCAUAGCAGUGUCUGAGCAUGGUCCUGGCCCUGGGUGGGGAAGAGGCUGGGCUGUGGGUGACAGAACCCGGUGACAGCAGGCAUCCUUCUCCCUGUCCGACUUAAACCUUUGUUUUAUCAUCACUAGGUCCUGUGGGCUUUCCCCACCUUCACCCGAGAGAGAGUGACAGUCCUACGGGCCCCUGAUUGUUCUUCCUCAGAUCUUUCCUGAUCCCUCCUCCCCAUCUUUUCUCCCCUUUCUUUCAGGUGACAGCAUCAGCACCCCCCAACCCCGCUGCCGCCUCGACACGGGCUUGGCCAGAAACUCCCGACACCAGAAGCGGUCAUCACAGUAGCCCCCUGGGUCCGUGCUGCAGAAUAUUUUGCUGUAUGGUGUUUUGUUAAGCACUUACUAGGUGCCAGACACUGUAACAAGCACCGGGGUAGAUAUAUAAGUUAACCAGGUCAGAUGCAGUCACUAUCCCAGAUGGGGCUCACAGUCUUAAUCCUUUUUUUACAGAUGAGGUAACUGAGGUACAGAGAAGAUUGCCCAAGGUCACCCAGCAGACGAGUGGCAGAGCUUGGGUGACAACACAGGAACUCUGACUCCCAGGCCCAUGUGCUUUCCACCGGGCCAAGCUGCUUCUCAGAAUCUAAGCUUCAGCCUCUUACCUGGAAUGGAUCUGACUGCAGUUUCAAGGGAUACGUACCCAGGAUGCAGCAGUCCAGAUAAGACAGCGUGGAUCGCUCAGUGCAAACCAUUACCACAAAACAACUCAAGCAAGCCCGUGCCCUGCUGACGGUAGGACAUACCUUUCUCCUUUUAACCUCUGAUGUCUAAGCAAUGCUGACCUGAGUACCAGGGGACCAAUAAAAACUCCACUGUCACCCACUAAUUUUUCUUGGACACAUUGUGCCAGAGAUUCUCUGUCAAAGAUACUCACACCCGUAGAUAAUAAUAAUAAUGGUGAUGUUUGCUAAGCACUUACUAUGUGCAAAGCACUGUUCUAAGUGCUGGGGGGAUACAAGGUGAUCAGGUUGUCCCAUGUGGGGCUCACAAUUUUAAUCCCCAUUUUACAGAUGAGGUAACGGAGGCACAGAGAAUAAUAAUAAUAAUAAUGUCAGUAUUUGUUAAGCGCUUACUAUGUGCAGAGCACUGUUCUAAGCGCUGGGGUAGAUACAGGGUCAUCAGGUUGUCCCAUGUGAAGCUCACAGUUAAUCCCCAUUUUACAGAUGAGGUAACUGAAGCACAGAGAAGUUAAGUGACUUGCCCACAGUCACACAGCUGACAAGCGGCUGAGCCGGGAGUCGAACCCAUGACCUCUGACUCCGAAGCCCAGGUUCUUUCCACUGAGCCAUGUUGCAGUGAAG
This 1379-nucleotide long non-coding RNA is filed under the name Ornithorhynchus anatinus (platypus). Its description in RNAcentral is "lncRNA (ENSOANG00000037900.1)". The record is from RNAcentral. Lineage: Eukaryota; Metazoa; Chordata; Mammalia; Monotremata; Ornithorhynchidae.